This is a long non-coding RNA of Seriola aureovittata, 1076 nucleotides long. RefSeq lists it as uncharacterized. NCBI's taxonomy places the organism in Eukaryota, Metazoa, Chordata, Actinopteri, Carangiformes, Carangidae. The record is from RefSeq and is a predicted model, not a curated record. The transcript is spliced from 2 exons.
AUCCUACCACUGAUAUUCAAUUUUACAGUCUUUCACAAGGAGAUCUUACAGUGGACCCAAAAUAUUUGCAUUCUGUUUCUACAGAAUUGUACAGCGACUCCCCUCAGCAGGGAAAAAAUCACCUGUUCACACAAGAACAGGAACAACAUAUCAUAAACAUGGUCAUUGCAAACAACACCAUACGUUUGCGACAAAUGCAACAGCACAUAAUUACUGACAACACAACAUUCAUCAACAUACACAGGGUGCCGUCUACUGAAGCAGAAUAGACUUUGCAUGAAACAGCUGUACAGAGCGCCAUUUGAAAGAAACUGAAAGAGUGAAGCAACUGCGCUAUGAAAAUGUACAAAGAGUCAUGGAGCUUGAUGCUGCUGCACAACAGCAUGCGUACAUAUAUAUCGAUGAUGUUGGCUUCAAUCUAACAAAGAACAGACGCUGGGGAAGGAACAUCAUCGGGCAGCGUGCUGUUGUCCAUGUUCCUGGGCUGCGUGGUCGAAACAUCACAAUGCAUGCUGCAAUUAGCCAGGAUGGUGUCCUUGACCACCACGCCAGUCUCGGCCACUACAACACAGCUCAUAUCCUCGGAUUCCUCGACACCCUGCAUGACACACUUGUUCCCACUGACCAGGGGACUCUGUGUUUGUUAUCAUAUGGGACAACGUGAGUUUCCAACGGGCUCUUCUGGUCCAAGAUCGUUUCAACAAUCAACCCACGGUUUCAAGUUCUCCGCCUUCCACCUUACUCUCCUUUCCUGAACCCUACUGAGGAGCUCUUUUCAGCAUGGCGUUGGAAGGUUUAUGACCAUUAACCCUUCCAACGUGCAGCUCUCAUCCAGGCAAUGGAAGAGGCCUGUGCUGACAUUGAUGUGGAGGCAUGCCAGGGCUGGAUACGCCACUCAAGACUGUUGGCCGGACAGGACAUCGCUUGUGAUGUUGAUUAAGUGCUGUGGCCUGAUCUACAUCAGAGACAGGAUAGAGAGUAACUGCAAUACUGUACAGGCCUACUGUAUUUUACAGUACAGUAUGUUCAUGACAUCUUCAAAUCAGUAUUGAGAAUAAAGAGAUUUUGUUUCCCCA